GGGGAAUAUUGCGCAAUGGGGGCAACCCUGACGCAGCAACGCCGCGUGCAGGAAGAAGGUCUUCGGAUUGUAAACUGUUGUCGCAAGGGAAGAAGACAGUGACGGUACCUUGUGAGAAAGUCACGGCUAACUACGUGCCAGCAGCCGCGGUAAUACGUAGGUGACAAGCGUUGUCCGGAUUUACUGGGUGUAAAGGGCGCGUAGGCGGACUGUCAAGUCAGUCGUGAAAUACCGGGGCUUAACCCCGGGGCUGCGAUUGAAACUGACAGCCUUGAGUAUCGGAGAGGAAAGCGGAAUUCCUAGUGUAGCGGUGAAAUGCGUAGAUAUUAGGAGGAACACCAGUGGCGAAGGCGGCUUUCUGGACGACAACUGACGCUGAGGCGCGAAAGUGUGGGGAGCAAACAGGAUUAGAUACCCUGGUAGUCCACACCGUAAACGAUGGAUACUAGGUGUAGGAGGUAUCGACCCCUUCUGUGCCGCAGUUAACACAAUAAGUAUCCCACCUGGGGAGUACGACCGCAAGGUUGAAACUCAAAGGAAUUGACGGGGGCCCGCACAAGCAGUGGAGUAUGUGGUUUAAUUCGAAGCAACGCGAAGAACCUUACCUGGGCUUGACAUCCCUGGAAUCGAGUAGAGAUACUUGAGUGCCUUCGGGAAUCAGGUGACAGGUGGUGCAUGGUUGUCGUCAGCUCGUGUCGUGAGAUGUUGGGUUAAGUCCCGCAACGAGCGCAACCCCUAUUGUCAGUUGCCAUCAUUAAGUUGGGCACUCUGGCGAGACUGCCGGUGACAAAUCGGAGGAAGGUGGGGACGACGUCAAAUCAUCAUGCCCCUUAUGCCCAGGGCUACACACGUACUACAAUGGCCGAUAACAAAGUGCAGCGAAACCGUGAGGUGGAGCGAAUCACAAAACUCGGUCUCAGUUCAGAUUGCAGGCUGCAACUCGCCUGCAUGAAGUUGGAAUUGCUAGUAAUCGCGGAUCAGAAUGCCGCGGUGAAUACGUUCCCG
RNAcentral lists this ribosomal RNA (1005 nucleotides) under uncultured bacterium. RNAcentral describes it as "bacterial SSU rRNA". It matches the Rfam family "Bacterial small subunit ribosomal RNA", at positions 356 to 1376 of the family's 1533-position model. The record is from RNAcentral. RNAcentral also lists the same sequence under 1 other name.